GUAAAAAUAAGUUAACUAAACUUUUAGACUCAUAAUCUAAUAAUAGAAUAUAUAUCUUCUUUUUUAUA
This 68-nucleotide transfer RNA is filed under the name Pujadella villari. RNAcentral's name for it is "tRNA-Met". Lineage: Eukaryota; Metazoa; Arthropoda; Insecta; Hymenoptera; Figitidae. The record is from RNAcentral.